CCGAGUUUACAACUCCCAAACCCCUGUGAACAUACCUAUACGUUGCCUCGGCGGAUCAGCCCGCGCCCCGUAAAAAGGGACGGCCCGCCCGAGGACCCCUAAACUCUGUUUUUAGUGGAACUUCUGAGUAAAACAAACAAUUAAAUCA
Molecule: unclassified non-coding RNA, 148 nt
Filed under: soil metagenome
Description: partial internal transcribed spacer 1
Source: RNAcentral